CCGAGAUGAGUUCUCCCUGACUCCUUGAGAGUCCUGAAGGAACGUUGAAGACGACGACGUUGAUAGGCCGGGUGUGUAAGCGCAGCGAUGCGUUGAGCUAACCGGUACUAAUGAACCGUGAGGCUUAACCUUACAACGCCGAAGGUGUUU
RNAcentral lists this ribosomal RNA (150 nucleotides) under Escherichia coli. Its description in RNAcentral is "partial 23S ribosomal RNA". The stretch from base 1 to 132 matches the Rfam family "Bacterial large subunit ribosomal RNA", at positions 2799 to 2925 of the family's 2925-position model. Lineage: Bacteria; Pseudomonadati; Pseudomonadota; Gammaproteobacteria; Enterobacterales; Enterobacteriaceae. The record is from RNAcentral.